GCCUGAGAAACGGCUACCACAUCCAAGGAAGGCAGCAGGCACGCAAAUUACCCAAUCCCAGCUCUGGGAGGUAGUGACGAAAAAUAACAAUGCGGGACUCUUCCGAGUCUGCGUAAUUGGAAUGAGCACACUUUAAAUCCUUUAGCAACAACCAAUUGGAGGGCAAGUCUGGUGCCAGCAGCCGCGGUAAUUCCAGCUCCAAUAGCGUAUAUUAAAGUUGUUGCGGUUAAAAAGCUCGUAGUYCGARUUCAGUUCCGGACUGGCYGGGGAGGUCACCGCCCGGUGCUUCCCCGUCAGGCUCCGAACAGCUUUUAUGACUAAAAGCCAAGCCGGUUUCGCCGGGGUGCUCUUCACCGAGUGUCCCGCGCGGCCGGCCAGUUGACCUUGAAUAAAUGAGAGUGCUCAAAGCAGGCUACUCUUAAAAAUAAAGCCCGAAUGUUACCUGCAUGGAAUGAUGGAAGAUGAUCUCGGUUCCAUUUUAUUGGUUCUGGGAGUCCGAGUUAAUGAUAAACAGGGACUGUCGGGGGCAUCCGUACUACGACGCGAGAGGUGAAAUUCAGUGACCGUCGUAGGACGAACAACAGCGAAAGCAUUUGCCAAGAAUGUCUUCGUUGAUCAAGAACGAAAGUUAGAGGAUCGAAGGCGAUCAGAUACCGCCCUAGUUCUAACCCUAAACGAUGCUGACUAGCAAUCCGCCGUCGUUAUUCCCAUGACGUGGCGGGACGCCCCCGGGAAACCUCAAGUCUUUGAGUUCCGGGGGUAGUAUGGUUGCAAAACUGAAACUUAAAGGAAUUGACGGAAGGGCACCACCAGGAGUGGAGCCUGCGGCUUAAUUUGACUCAACACGGGAAACCUCACCAGGCCCGGACACCAGAAGGAUUGACAGAUUAAGAGCUCUUUCUCGAUUUGGUGGGUGGUGGUGCAUGGCCGUUCUUAGUUGGUGGAGUGAUUUGUCUGGUUAAUUCCGGUAACGAACGAGACUCUGGCCUACUAAAUAGUCGACGUGGGUUUUGGUGCAUGGGCCCCGUUCGACAAUGUCUUCUUAGAGGGAUGAGCAGCGAGUAUAGCUGCAGGAGAUUGAGCAAUAACAGGUCUGUGAUGCCCUUAGAUGUCCUGGGCCGCACGCGCGCUACACUGAAUGGGUUAGCGGGUUCUCCUUCUCCGAGAGGAGAGGGAAAUCGCGUGAAAACCAUUCGUGAUAGGGAUUGGGGCUUGCAAUUGUUUCCCAUGAACGAGGAAUUCCCAGUAAGCGCAAGUCAUCAGCUUGCGUUGAUUAAGUCCCUGCCCUUUGUACACACCGCCCGUCGCUACUACCGAUUGAAUGAUUUAGUGAGGCCUUCGGAGCUGGCGGUCUUGGACUGGGCUCCACUCGCCAUCACUCCAGCAAUGGGGGGCGGUGGACUCGCCAUGACGAGCCGGAAAGAUGUCCAAACUUGAUCAUUUAGAGGAAGUAAAAGUCGUAACAAGGUUUCC
RNAcentral lists this ribosomal RNA (1473 nucleotides) under Alvinocaris muricola. Its description in RNAcentral is "SSU rRNA". It matches the Rfam family "Eukaryotic small subunit ribosomal RNA", at positions 396 to 1824 of the family's 1831-position model. The record is from RNAcentral. Lineage: Eukaryota; Metazoa; Arthropoda; Malacostraca; Decapoda; Alvinocarididae.